UGGGGAAUAUUGGACAAUGGGCGCAAGCCUGAUCCAGCCAUGCCGCGUGGAUGAUGAAGGCCUUAGGGUUGUAAAAUCCUUUCGUGGGGGACGAUAAUGACGGUACCCCAAGAAGAAGCUCCGGCUAACUUCGUGCCAGCAGCCGCGGUAAUACGAAGGGGGCUAGCGUUGUUCGGAUUUACUGGGCGUAAAGCGCGUGUAGGCGGGUCGUUAAGUUGGGGGUGAAAUCCCGAGGCUCAACCUCGGAACUGCCUUCAAAACUGGCGACCUGGACUCAAGCAGAGGCAAGUGGAAUUGCGAGUGUAGAGGUGAAAUUCGUAGAUAUUCGCAGGAACACCAGUGGCGAAGGCGGCUCACUGGACCAUUACUGACGCUGAGGUGCGAAAGCGUGGGGAGCAAACAGGAUUAGAUACCCACGUAGUCCCUGAGCGGGCUGGCAAGGCGCAU
Molecule: ribosomal RNA, 447 nt
Filed under: uncultured bacterium
Lineage: Bacteria
Description: bacterial SSU rRNA
Rfam family: Bacterial small subunit ribosomal RNA
Source: RNAcentral